UUUAAGGUCUGACCUGCCCAAUGAGGAUUUAAAUGGCCGCAGUAUUUUGACUGUGCAAAGGUAGCAUAAUUAUUAGUUUUUUAAUUGAAAGCUUGUAUGAAGGGUUGGACGAGAUAAAAUCUGUCUUUAUUUAAAUUAAAAUAGAAUUUAACUUUUAAGUCAAAAGGCUUAAAUAUUAGUAAAAGACGAGAAGACCCUAUAGAUCUUUAUUUGAUUAAUACUUUAAUAAUUUAGGGAUAGUUUAAUUUAAAGUUUUAAUCAAAUUUUAUUGGGGUAAUAUAAAGAUUAAACAAAUUCUUUUUAUUUAUUACAUUGAUUUAUGAAUAAAUGAUCCAAUACUAUUGAUUAUAAGAUUAAGUUACCUUAGGGAUAACAGCGUAAUUUUUUUGGAGAGCUCAUAUCGAUAAGAAAGUUUGCGACCUCGAUGUUGGAUUAAAAAUUAGCUUGGGUGCAGAAGCUCAAGAGUUUGGUCUGUUCGACCAUUAAAUUUUUACAUGAUCUGAGUUCAGACCGGCGUAAGCCAGGUCGGUUUCUAUCUUUACUUAAAUAAAAUAUUUUAGUACGAAAGGACCAAAUAUUUAAUAUAAUCAUAUUUAUUUUUUGAAUAAUAUU
Molecule: ribosomal RNA, 612 nt
Filed under: Calomera cardoni
Lineage: Eukaryota; Metazoa; Arthropoda; Insecta; Coleoptera; Carabidae
Description: partial 16S ribosomal RNA
Rfam family: Bacterial large subunit ribosomal RNA
Source: RNAcentral